CAGAUCUCUGAGAUGAAAAAUGUGUAAGUACCUCCCCACACUCAGCUGAUGAGUGUAGAUAGACAUACUGGUCUGGAGCAUCCAGUGGUCAUUGCCAAAUUCUUCUAUUACAUCAAAGGCCACAGGGUGGCAAAGAUUGCUUGGUGCUUGGCUUCUGCACAGUGAGAUGACAGUCUGGAAACUGAGGUCCUCAGCACUUGGAUUGGUGGAGCCAAAUGGAGCUCCCACUCCAGCAGCAUGAACUCCACCGUUUGGACAUGCAGGUUACAGGCCCUUCCCACAGGAGGAACACAGGACAAGGAACAAAACAAAGCUUCAGAUGCUACAGCAGAAGAUGGUCUUCCAUGUGGAGUCCAUAAAAGGCCAGGUCUUCAUGUGUUCCAGGUCUUCAGAGCCUAAAAUGGACUGAUGGCACUUCAAGGCCCUGAUGAUGAUUCAUGCUGCAAAUAAACUUCGGAAGGCAGCAGGUGCCAGCACUCAUCAGAGGAUGAAGUGCAAUUGUUUUCUAGUCAACAGAGUAAUUUGAAAAGUAUUUGUGCCACCUUGCUAAAAGCACAAACUGUGUCACAUUUAUUUUUAGGUGCAGAUAUCUGUCCAGGAAGAAACCACAACCAGUUAUGUCACACAUCAAUAAGAGCUACCUGCUGUUAUCAUCACAGAGUUUACUACAGUGCUUUUUUA
Molecule: long non-coding RNA, 681 nt
Organism: Ficedula albicollis (Collared flycatcher)
Lineage: Eukaryota; Metazoa; Chordata; Aves; Passeriformes; Muscicapidae
Exons: 3
Source: RefSeq, a predicted model, not a curated record